Molecule: ribosomal RNA, 468 nt
Filed under: uncultured bacterium
Lineage: Bacteria
Description: partial 16S ribosomal RNA
Rfam family: Bacterial small subunit ribosomal RNA
Source: RNAcentral
GACGAACGCUGGCGGCGUGCUUAACACAUGCAAGUCGAACGGAAAGGCCCGGCUUUUGUGGGGUGCUCGAGUGGCGAACGGGUGAGUAACACGCGUGUAUCCCGCCCUUGACUGUGGGAUAAAUUCAGGAAACUGGGGAUAAUACCGGAUAGGAGCUCCUGCUGCAUGGUGGGGGUUGGAAAGUUUCGGCGGUUGGGGCAGGACUCGAGGCUUAUCAGCUUGUUGGUGGGGUAGUGGCUUACCAAGGCUUUGACGGGUAGCCGGCCUGAGAGGGUGACCGGCCACAUUGGGACUGAGAUACGGCCCAGACUCCUACGGGAGGCAGCAGUGGGGAAUAUUGCACAAUGGGCGGAAGCCUGAUGCAGCAACGCCGCGUGCGGGAUGACGGCCUUCGGGUUGUAAACCGCUUUCGCCUGUGACGAAGCGUGAGUGACGGUAAUGGGUAAAGAAGCACCGGCUAACUACGUG